Molecule: small nuclear RNA, 23 nt
Filed under: Arabidopsis thaliana (thale cress)
Lineage: Eukaryota; Viridiplantae; Streptophyta; Magnoliopsida; Brassicales; Brassicaceae
Description: snRNA_02756
Source: RNAcentral
GGAAGUUCUACAGGAAGAUGAAA